Molecule: ribosomal RNA, 440 nt
Filed under: uncultured bacterium
Lineage: Bacteria
Description: partial 16S ribosomal RNA
Rfam family: Bacterial small subunit ribosomal RNA
Source: RNAcentral
CCUACGGGUGGCAGCAGUGGGGAAUAUUGCACAAUGGGGGAAACCCUGAUGCAGCGACGCCGCGUGAGCGACGAAGUAUUUCGGUAUGUAAAGCUCUAUCAGCAGGGAAGAAAAUGACGGUACCUGAGUAUGAAGCUCCGGCUAAAUACGUGCCAGCAGCCGCGGUAAUAUGUAUGGAGCAAGCGUUAUCCGGAUUUACCGGGUGUAAAGGGAGCGCAGGCGGCCUUGCAAGUCUGAUGUGAAAUACCGGGGCGCAACCCCGGAGCUGCAUUGGAAACUGGGAGGCUGGAGUGUCGGAGAGGCAGGCGGAAUUCCUAGUGUAGCGGUGAAAUGCGUAGAUAUUAGGAGGAACACCAGUGGCGAAAGCGGCCUGCUGGACGAUGACUGACGCUGAGGCUCGAAAGCGUGGGGAGCAAACAGGAUUAGAUACCCGUGUAGUC